This is a long non-coding RNA of Trachemys scripta elegans, 367 nucleotides long. RefSeq lists it as uncharacterized. Lineage: Eukaryota; Metazoa; Chordata; Testudines; Emydidae. The record is from RefSeq and is a predicted model, not a curated record. The transcript has 3 exons.
CCUAACAAUGGCCCUUUCUCUUAAUCUUUACCAUUUUUAUUUUAAAAAUUCCUGGGAAGCAACAACACAAGCUGUGGUGGUUUCUUCAUCUAUACAGUGCUGCACCGUCCCUUUAGCUUGUUCUACAGAGCUGGCAUCCAAAAACCUUGGUGUUUAUUCCCACAAGCCUGUUUAUAAUGAUGCCCCAGGUUCAGCGGCAUGUCCCCUUUGGCUUUCCUCCUGAAGCACAGAAGCAUUUGAACAGAGCACACCAGGCCUCAGCCCAAAGAGACCUCAGAACUUCAGAAUUAUCCCCAGUUUAAUGCAUGUGAACCGAAGCCUACAACAACUGUUCAUCAUCUCUGCUCCUUUUGUUACUAUUGCCUGG